RNAcentral lists this long non-coding RNA (613 nucleotides) under Fukomys damarensis (Damara mole-rat). RNAcentral describes it as "lncRNA (ENSFDAG00000025763.1)". Lineage: Eukaryota; Metazoa; Chordata; Mammalia; Rodentia; Bathyergidae. The record is from RNAcentral.
GGACUUUUACUUUAUGGGUUCUGUCAUGUGGUUUAUGGAGGUGGAGUUGCCUUUAAUAAAAACAUUCAUGUUUUCCCUGUGACUUCUGUAUUUUGUUGCUUGAUAUGUCUUUGGGAGAGUAAGAGUUGGGGAUAAAGUCACAGUUGUGACAGGCAAUGAAAGCAGUGCUGUUAAUGGCAGAGCAGUUUAGAAAUAUGCCCAACAAUUGAUAAAUAUUUUUUGGCGACCAUAACUAAUCACUUUGUUAAAAAUGAAUUCAAAAUAAUAAACUGUAUAAAUAUUUUUAAAUGAUUUUUUUUCAUUUUUCAGAUAUUGUUUUGCCACAUGGUCGAACUGCAGACUAUUUGUUUCUUGGAAAUUGUAUUUAUACGUAUGUAGUUGUUACUGUUUGUCUGAAAGCUGGGUUGGAAACUAUGUCAUGGACUAAAGCCAGUGUGAUCCUCGUUUCUCCAUGCUUCUGGCUGGGUUUUGUCCUAGUCCCUACCACAUGUCUGAUUAACGAUGUGUUUUGGAAAUUGUAAGUAUAAAAAUGAAGUGGUAACCAAAAUACAUUGUAGUGCUUAACUACCAUUUUCCAAUUAUACAUAUGUGUUUCUAAUCAAACCCAGAGCCA